AUUGAACGCUGGCGGUAGGCCUAACACAUGCAAGUCGAACGGCAGCACGGUGAGUGCUUGCUCUUACGGGUGGCGACUGGCGGACAGGUCCUGAAAAUAUCGGAAUCUACUUUUUCGAAGGGGCUAAAGCAGGGGCACUUACGCUAAUACCCCAUACGAACUACGGGUGGGAUCAGCGGAUCUUAGGACAUUGCAUGAUUGAAUGAGCCUAUGUCGGAUUAGCUAGUUGGCGGGGUAACGGCCCAACAAGGCGACGAUCCGUAGCUGGUCUGAGAGGAUGAUCAGCCACACUGGAACUGAGACACGGUCCAGACUCCUACGGGAGGCAGCAGUGGGGAAUAUUGGACAAUGGGCGCAAGCCUGAUCCAGCCAUACCGCGUGUGUGAAGAAGGCCUUCGGGUUGUAAAGCCCUUUUGGUUGGAAAGAAAAGCAGCAGGUUAAUACCCCGCUGUUCUGACGUUACCAAAAGAAUAAGCACCGGCUAACUUCGUG
RNAcentral lists this ribosomal RNA (492 nucleotides) under uncultured bacterium. Its description in RNAcentral is "partial 16S ribosomal RNA". It matches the Rfam family "Bacterial small subunit ribosomal RNA", at positions 30 to 507 of the family's 1533-position model. The record is from RNAcentral.